Molecule: ribosomal RNA, 460 nt
Filed under: uncultured bacterium
Lineage: Bacteria
Description: partial 16S ribosomal RNA
Rfam family: Bacterial small subunit ribosomal RNA
Source: RNAcentral
CCUACGGGUGGCAGCAGUGAGGAAUAUUGGUCAAUGGACGCAAGUCUGAACCAGCCAUGCCGCGUGCAGGAAGACGGCUCUAUGAGUUGUAAACUGCUUUUGUACGAGGGUAAAUCUCGAUACGUGUAUUCGGCUGAAAGUACUGUACGAAUAAGGAUCGGCUAACUCCGUGCCAGCAGCCGCGGUAAUACGGAGGAUCCAAGCGUUAUCCGGAUUUAUUGGGUUUAAAGGGUGCGUAGGCGGUUUGAUAAGUUAGAGGUGAAAUACCCGGGCUCAACUCGGGAACUGCCUCUGAUACUUUCGAGCUAGAGAGUAGUUGCGGUAGGCGGAAUGUAUGGUGUAGCGGUGAAAUGCAUAGAGAUCAUACAGAACACCGAUUGCGAAGGCAGCUUACCAAUCUACAACUGACGUUGAGGCACGAAAGCGUGGGGAGCAAACAGGAUUAGAUACCCGAGUAGUC